RNAcentral lists this ribosomal RNA (253 nucleotides) under uncultured bacterium. RNAcentral describes it as "partial 16S ribosomal RNA". It matches the Rfam family "Bacterial small subunit ribosomal RNA", at positions 524 to 776 of the family's 1533-position model. The record is from RNAcentral.
UACGUAGGGGGCAAGCGUUGUCCGGAUUUAUUGGGCGUAAAGAGCGUGUAGGCGGCCAGGUAGGUCUGCUGUGAAAACUCGAGGCUCAACCUCGAGACGUCGGCGGAAACCAUCUGGCUAGAGUCCGGGAGAGGGAUGCGGAAUUCCAGGUGUAGCGGUGAAAUGCGUAGAUAUCGAGAGGAACACCUGCGGCGAAGGCGGGUUGCUGGGCUGACACUGACGCUGAGGCGCGAAAGCUAGGGGAGCGAACGGG